GACGAACGCUGGCGGCGUGCUUAACACAUGCAAGUCGAACGGAAAGGCCCUGCUUUUGUGGGGUGCUCGAGUGGCGAACGGGUGAGUAACACGUGAGUAACCUGCCCUUGACUUUGGGAUAACUUCAGGAAACUGGGGCUAAUACCGGAUAGGAGCUCCUGCUGCGUGGUGGGGGUUGGAAAGUUUCGGCGGUUGGGGAUGGACUCGCGGCUUAUCAGCUUGUUGGUGGGGUAGUGGCUUACCAAGGCUUUGACGGGUAGCCGGCCUGAGAGGGUGACCGGCCACAUUGGGACUGAGAUACGGCCCAGACUCCUACGGGAGGCAGCAGUGGGGAAUAUUGCACAAUGGGCGGAAGCCUGAUGCAGCAACGCAGCGUGCGGGAUGACGGCCUUCGGGUUGUAAACCGCUUUCGCCUGUGACGAAGCGUGAGUGACGGUAAUGGGUAAAGAAGCACCGGCUAACUACGUG
Molecule: ribosomal RNA, 468 nt
Filed under: uncultured bacterium
Lineage: Bacteria
Description: partial 16S ribosomal RNA
Rfam family: Bacterial small subunit ribosomal RNA
Source: RNAcentral